GACUCGAGUUGAAUGGCACACUGAGGUUUGCGAUUUUGCACACGUACAAAUCUGAAAAAUCUGAUGGAAAUGGGGUCUUUUUUCGGUGGAUUAUUACUCGGCAUUGAGCUACGAAAUGGAUGGCGAUUUUGAGAAACGAAUCGAAUAGAUUUGACAGCAAAAUCAACCCGGAAUCCACAGCACAUUUCAUCCUAUGAGCAGUUUGUUCGAUCUUGAAAUUACAGACGAGGGAACGCGAAAGAAAGAAAAGAAGGCGGCAAAUGAGGAAAUGUAUACGGCUCGAGAAGAGGCGGGAAGAGAGGGGGGUAAUUAACCGGCCGCGCCGCGCGUCUUUUUAAUCCGUCCCCGCCGCCGCCGUCGACGACGGUGGCACCGGCGAUGAUAUGGACAAUGCCGCCGCCGGCGUGCUGCCGUUGCUGUGCGCGACCACGUGGCUGGAAGGAACGACCGUGAUGGUCUUCGUGGAGGUGGUGGAGCUCGUCGGCCUCAGCGCUCUCAUUGGGCUGGCCAGCGCCGCCCACGCCCAGCUCCGGUGGCUCCGGCCGCCCGACUUCCUCGCGCCGCCACCGGAUGCGGCCGCGCCCUCCGCCGCGGAGAGCCAGUAGGAGGGCG
This 612-nucleotide long non-coding RNA is filed under the name Oryza brachyantha (malo sina). Its description in RNAcentral is "long non-coding RNA (OBRA_LNC000507)". The record is from RNAcentral. Lineage: Eukaryota; Viridiplantae; Streptophyta; Magnoliopsida; Poales; Poaceae.